CAGCAGCCGCGGUAAUACGGAGGGUGCAAGCGUUAAUCGGAAUUACUGGGCGUAAAGCGCACGCAGGCGGUCUGACAAGUCAGAUGUGAAAUCCCCGGGCUUAACCUGGGAACUGCAUUUGAAACUGUCAGGCUGGAGUCUUGUAGAGGGGGGUGGAAUUCCAGGUGUAGCGGUGAAAUGCGUAGAGAUCUGGAGGAAUACCGGUGGCGAAGGCGGCCCCCUGGACAAAGACUGACGCUCAGGUGCGAAAGCGUGGGGAGCAAACAGGAUUAGAUACCCCGGUAGUCCCUGUCUCUUAUCC
Molecule: ribosomal RNA, 301 nt
Filed under: uncultured bacterium
Lineage: Bacteria
Description: partial 16S ribosomal RNA
Rfam family: Bacterial small subunit ribosomal RNA
Source: RNAcentral